RNAcentral lists this ribosomal RNA (109 nucleotides) under Nannospalax galili (Upper Galilee mountains blind mole rat). Lineage: Eukaryota; Metazoa; Chordata; Mammalia; Rodentia; Spalacidae. The record is from RNAcentral.
GUCUAUGACCAUACUACCCUGAACAUGCCUUAUCUUGUCAGAUGGAGGAAGUUAAGCAGGGGCAGGCCUGGUUAGUACUUGAAUGGGAGAAGGAGACUAGGGUAUGACU